Molecule: small RNA, 4493 nt
Filed under: Pongo abelii (Sumatran orangutan)
Lineage: Eukaryota; Metazoa; Chordata; Mammalia; Primates; Hominidae
Description: retained intron
Source: RNAcentral
ACUGCACAUGCUGAGGACCGAGCCCCCGGGGACGUUCCUCGUGCGGAAAUCUAGCACCCGCCAGUGCCAGGCGCUGUGCUUGCGUUUGCCUGAAGCCAGCGGCCCCUCCUUCGUCUCCAGCCACUACAUCCUGGAGAGCCCUGGCGGUGAGGGGCUGGCCUGGCGGGAAGGGGCUGGAAGCAGGGAGGUUCCCCAGAGAAGCACCUCACUUCCCUCCUCUCUCAGGCGUCUUCUUGGAGGGCUCGGAGCUCGUGUUCCCGGACCUAGUCCAGCUCAUCUGUGCCUACUGCCACAGCCGGUGAGUCUGCCCACAGGGUGCCUGGUGUCCACGGGCCCUGCUCCUUGGGACAGCCCAUCCUCCCCAUCCCCUUUGGCCCUCACUCCCUUCUGCUCCCCUCUCUGGCCUCAGGGACAUCCUUCUCCUCCCGCUGCAGCUCCCCAGAGCCAUCCACCGCGCAGCCACCCACAAAGAGCUGGAGGCCAUCUCCCAUCUGGGCAUUGGUAAGGGCUCCCUGCCACCCAUUGCACAGAUGAACAAGCUGAGGCUGAGGGCAAGGGAAGGCUCGCGCACACCUCCCGAAGCCCAUGCCUUGCCUUGGUUGGGAGACUUCCCCUAACCAAUCCUGGAGGCCCCAGUCAGUUUCUUGUUCCCUAGAGUUCUGGAGCUCCUCCCUCAACAUCAAGGCUCAGCGGGGCCCGGCUGGAGGCCCAGUGUUGCCCCAGCUGAAGGCCCGGUCCCCUCAAGAGCUGGACCAGGGCACCGGAGCCGCCUUGUGCUUCUUCAACCCCCUGUUCCCGGGGGACCUAGGGCCCACCAAGCGGGAGAAAUUCAAGAGAAGCUUCAAAGUGCGCGUGUCCACAGAGACCUCCAGCCCCCUGUCUCCACCUGCCGUGCCGCCUCCCCCCGUCCCCGUGCUGCCAGGGACAGUCCCCAGCCAGACAGAGCGGCUGCCCCCUUGCCAGCUGCUACGGAGAGAGAGCUCAGUGGGGUACCGCGUGCCAGCAGGCGGUGGCCCUAGCCUUCCGCCUAUGCCCUCCCUCCAGGAGGUGGACUGUGGCUCCCCCAGCAGCUCCGAGGAAGAGGGGGUGCCAGGGUCCCAGGGGAGCCCAGCGACCUCACCCCACCUGGGCCGCCGGCGGCCUCUGCUUCGGUCCAUGAGCGCCGCCUUCUGCUCCCUACUGGCGCCGGAGCGGCAGGUGGGCCGGGCCGCAGCAGCACUGAUGCAGGACCGACACACAGCCGCGGGCCAGCUGGUGCAGGACCUACUGACCCAGGUGCGGGCCAGGCCCGAGCCCCAGGAGCUGCAGGGCAUCCGUCAGGCGCUGAGCCGGGCCCGGGCCAUGCUGAGCGCGGAGCUGGGCCCUGAGAAGCUGCUGUCGCCUAAGAGGCUGGAACAUGUCCUGGAGAAGUCAUUGCAUCGCUCUGUGCUCAAGCCUCUCCGACCCAUCCUGGCAGCCCGCCUGCGGCGCCGGCUUGCAGCAGACGGCUCCCUGGGCCGCCUAGCUGAGGGCUUCCGCCUGGCCCGGGCCCAGGGCCCUGGAGCCUUCGGGUCCCACCUGAGCCUGCCCUCCCCAGUAGAAAUGGAGCAGGUGCGCCAGAAGCUGCUGCAGCUGCUCCGCACCUACUCACCCAGCGCCCAGGUCAAGCGGCUCCUGCAGGCCUGCAAGCUGCUCUACAUGGCCCUGAGGACCCAGGAAGGGGAGGGCGCGGGUGCCGACGAGUUCCUGCCUCUGCUGAGCCUCGUCUUGGCCCACUGUGACCUUCCUGAGCUGCUGCUGGAGGCCGAGUACAUGUCGGAGCUGCUGGAGCCCAGCCUGCUCACCGGAGAGGGUGGCUACUACCUGACCAGCCUCUCUGCCAGCCUGGCCCUGCUGAGUGGCCUGGGUCAGGCCCACACACUCCCACUGAGCCCUGCGCAGGAGCUACGGCGCUCCCUCAGCCUCUGGGAGCAGCGCCGCCUGCCUGCCACCCAGUGCUUUCAGUACCUCCUCCGAGUAGCCUAUCAGGAUCCCAGCAGUGGCUGCACCUCCAAGACCCUGGCCGUGCCCCCAGAGGCCUCAAUCGCCACCCUGAACCAGCUCUGUGCCACCAAGUUCCGAGUGACCCAGCCCAACACUUUUGGCCUCUUCCUGUACAAGGAGCAGGGCUACCACCGCCUGCCCCCUGGGGCCCUGGCCCACAGGCUGCCCACCACUGGCUACCUUGUCUACCGCCGAGCAGAGUGGCCUGAGAUCCAGGGGACUGCGACAGAGGAGGAGAGCAGUGGGCAGUCAGAGGCAAGAAGCAGAGGGGAGGAGCAAGGGUGCCAGGGAGAUGGGGACGCUGGGGUCAAAGCCAGCCCCAGGGACAUUCGGGAACAGUCUGAGACAACUGCUGAAGGGGGCCAGGGUCAAGCCCGGGAAGGCCCUGCUCAGCCAGGGGAACCAGAGGCAGAGGGAAGCCGGGUAGCAGAGGAGUAGCUUGAAGUGGCCAGAAGGGUCAUUCGGGGCGGGAGACCCUGAGCCUGCUGAUAAAUCCUUUUAGCGCCAGCAGCCCCACCCAGGGCCCUGUCCUGUGUCUGCCACCACCUUUGUCUGAUACUUGUCUCCAGGGAAGCUGGGGGAACUGCCACAUCUGAGGAACUGGAAUAAAGAUGAGGGGGCUUGGGGGACCCCCAGACUGUGUGCCCACGGCCCCUUUCCUCUUGUUCUUCUUCCCCAGCUGAGGGUGAGCCAGCCUGCAAUGGGGAGUGUGCCAAGUGGGGGCGAAUCCGACGGAUGCCCAACCUCUGACGCGGGGAGGGCGAUAGUCUCAGCUCCUUUUACCCUUCCCCUCAUGGGCAUGGCUAAGGCAGGGCUCCACCCAAGUAUCCCCCACCAGGCUGGGACUUCCAGACCCUAAAAGGUUCCAAUGGCUCUUAGUUGUCAGGAGGAUUUAGAGAGGCCACGGAACAGCAGCAAAGGCUCGGGGCCCACCCCUGUCCUGGACACCAGAAGGACCUGCACCUGCAAGCCUCAGUACUCUCAUCUGUAAAGUGGGGACACUAUUGCUGCCCUGCUCGGCUCCCAGAAGUGUCCCAGUGAUCAAAAUGGGUGAUUUUGCUACAGGCAGAGCUCAUGGCAGAAAGGGAGGGAGAGAGCUGGGCUGCUAACUCUCUCCCGGAGUCCGCUCUCUGCCAGACAGGGCUCCCACCUGCUGACGCCCAGUUCAGGGAGGUUAUUCCCGUGGAAAUCAGGCCCUGGGGAGAAAGUACCCAAGUUACAGUCUCUCCCCAAGAUUUGGAGUCCUCCCAGGCCCUCCAGCAUCUCUGGGGAGAUCCACCAGCUGGCAGAUAAGCUUCUAGAGUGGAGAGGGGGCUCAGAAACCAUGCUCUCUGCACUAAACUCUUGGCCCUCACAAAAGCUUUACUUGGCAUGGCUUGUUGGGCCCACUGAGGGUCAAGAAAGUGACUCCCAGGAUGUCAUACAGCAAGUCCUUAAGGGUUCCGCCGCCCAAACCAGGGCAUCAGGUUCCAACUCCACCCUCCAUUUUAAGCCACCCAUAAAGGCCGGGGCAGCCCCCAAGGAAGCCGAGAGCAGGCAGCAAAUCCAAACAAGGAAAAGUGCCGACGACCAACCACGAGGGGGCGUGCACGGCCCAGGAAGCUGCCGAGAGGGUGCCCACCCAGGGGUGAGGGCGCCUCCAAGGCUGCAGCAGCACAGGGGGACCCGGGCCUUGCAGUCCAGCAGCAUCAGGCAACCUGGGGACAGCGAAGGGGCCAAGGCUGCUGGCCCCCAGGUCCCUUAGAUUCUGGGGUCUGGGUAAGGCCAGCCUCUUGGGGGCCAUCCCCAGGAAGGAAGGAAUUGUCCCCCCAUGGAGGACGACCCCAGAGGCUCUCUCCUCGGGCACUGGGCACAGAGGGGACGUCAGCCCACAUGUCAGACAUGACAACUGGGAGGUAGAAAUCGUGGACAUUGGCUUUUUGGGUUUUUUUGUUCGUUUGUUUGUUUGAGAUGGAGUUUUGCUCUGUCGCUCUGGCUAAAGUGCAGUGGUGUGAUCUCGGCUCACAGCAACCUUCGCCUCCCGGUUCAAGUGAUUUUCCUGCCUCAGCCUCCCGAGUAGCUGGGACUACAGGUGUGCACCACCACACCUGGCUGAUUUUUGUGUUAUUAGUAGAGACGGGGUUUCCCCAUGUUGGCCAGGCUGGUCUCAAACUCCCGACCUCAGGUGAUCCGCCCGUCUUGGCCUCCCAAAGUACUGGGAUUACAGGCGUGAGCUACCGCGCCCAGCCAGACAUUGACUUUCAGAUGAGCAGUCCAGAUACAGCCCAGUUGCAGGGCUCCCAUUUUUUUGUCACUAGGCCACCAGCAGCUCUUCCCUCCCCACUUCCAUGCUCUCCCAAGGUUCUCACUGAUAGGAAGUGUCCCGUUGGCUCUUCUGUCCUCCCUCCCUGUUUCACCACUCACUCCUAGUGCCUCACACAGUCCAAUGCUGAGCACAAAUGCCAUAGGCGCUCAAUAAAUGUUGUUCACUG